GCCAGCAUGGCGUAGUGGUUUGAGUAUUGGAUUAUGACUCUGGAGACCAGGGUUCGAAUCCCUGCUCAACCA
Phrynosoma platyrhinos (Desert horned lizard) is the source of this 72-nucleotide non-coding RNA. Lineage: Eukaryota; Metazoa; Chordata; Lepidosauria; Squamata; Phrynosomatidae. The record is from the annotation of a GenBank genome assembly.